RNAcentral lists this ribosomal RNA (861 nucleotides) under uncultured bacterium. RNAcentral describes it as "bacterial SSU rRNA". It matches the Rfam family "Bacterial small subunit ribosomal RNA", at positions 9 to 865 of the family's 1533-position model. The record is from RNAcentral.
GAGUUUGAUCCUGGCUCAGAUUGAACGCUGGCGGCAGGCCUAACACAUGCAAGUCGAGCGGUAGAGAGGAGCUUGCUUCUCUUGAGAGCGGCGGACGGGUGAGUAAUGCCUAGGAAUCUGCCUAGUGGUGGGGGAUAACGUUCGGAAACGGACGCUAAUACCGCAUACGUCCUACGGGAGAAAGCGGGGGAUCUUCGGACCUCGCGCCAUUAGAUGAGCCUAGGUCGGAUUAGCUAGUUGGUGAGGUAAUGGCUCACCAAGGCGACGAUCCGUAACUGGUCUGAGAGGAUGAUCAGUCACACUGGAACUGAGACACGGUCCAGACUCCUACGGGAGGCAGCAGUGGGGAAUAUUGGACAAUGGGCGAAAGCCUGAUCCAGCCAUGCCGCGUGUGUGAAGAAGGUCUUCGGAUUGUAAAGCACUUUAAGUUGGGAGGAAGGGUCGUAACCUAAUACGUUACGGCUUUGACGUUACCGACAGAAUAAGCACCGGCUAACUUCGUGCCAGCAGCCGCGGUAAUACGAAGGGUGCAAGCGUUAAUCGGAAUUACUGGGCGUAAAGCGCGCGUAGGUGGUUCAGCAAGUUGGAUGUGAAAGCCCUGGGCUCAACCUGGGAACUGCAUCCAAAACUACUGAGCUAGAGUACGGUAGAGGGUAGUGGAAUUUCCUGUGUAGCGGUGAAAUGCGUAGAUAUAGGAAGGAACACCAGUGGCGAAGGCGACUACCUGGACUGAUACUGACACUGAGGUGCGAAAGCGUGNGGAGCAAACAGGAUUAGAUACCCUGGUAGUCCACGCCGUAAACGAUGUCGACUAGCCGUUGGGAUCCUUGAGAUCUUAGUGGCGCAGCUAACGCAUUAAGU